GGAAAAAAGUCGUAACAAGGUUUCCGUAGGUGAACCUGCGGAAGGAUCAUUAUUGUAUAACCGAGGUGCGAGGGCUGUCGCUGACCCGAAAGGUCGUGCACGCCCGAGUGCCCUCACACACAUCCAUCUCACCCCUAUGUGCACCACCGCGUGGGUCCCCCUUUGGCUUGUUCGGAGGGGGGCUUACGUUUUCACACAAACUUUGUAUGCAGUGUAGAAUGUAUUUUUUGUUUUUGCGAUCACGCAAUCAAUACAACUUUCAACAACGGAUCUCUUGGCUCUC
Molecule: unclassified non-coding RNA, 283 nt
Filed under: plant metagenome
Description: partial contains small subunit ribosomal RNA, internal transcribed spacer 1, and 5.8S ribosomal RNA
Rfam family: Eukaryotic small subunit ribosomal RNA (bases 1-52)
Source: RNAcentral